RNAcentral lists this ribosomal RNA (253 nucleotides) under uncultured bacterium. RNAcentral's name for it is "partial 16S ribosomal RNA". It matches the Rfam family "Bacterial small subunit ribosomal RNA", at positions 524 to 776 of the family's 1533-position model. The record is from RNAcentral.
AACGUAGGAGGCUAGCGUUAUUCGGAUUUAUUGGGCGUAAAGCGCGUGCAGGCGGCCUGACAAGUUGGAUGUGAAAGCUCCUGGCUAAACCGGGAGAGGUCGUUCAAAACUGUUGGGCUAGAGAAUGGGAGAGGGAGGUGGAAUUCCGGGUGUAGUGGUGAAAUGCGUAGAUAUCCGGAGGAACACCAGUGGCGAAAGCGGCCUCCUAGACCAUUUCUGACGCUCAGACGCGAAAGCUAGGGUAGCAAACGGG